This 497-nucleotide ribosomal RNA is filed under the name uncultured bacterium. RNAcentral describes it as "partial 16S ribosomal RNA". It matches the Rfam family "Bacterial small subunit ribosomal RNA", at positions 28 to 507 of the family's 1533-position model. The record is from RNAcentral.
GAUGAACGCUGGCGGCGUGCCUAAUACAUGCAAGUCGAGCGAACAGACGAGGAGCUUGCUCCUCUGACGUUAGCGGCGGACGGGUGAGUAACACGUGGAUAACCUACCUAUAAGACUGGGAUAACUUCGGGAAACCGGAGCUAAUACCGGAUAAUAUAUUGAACCGCAUGGUUCAAUAGUGAAAGACGGUUUUGCUGUCACUUAUAGAUGGAUCCGUGCCGCAUUAGCUAGUUGGUAAGGUAACGGCUUACCAAGGCAACGAUGCGUAGCCGACCUGAGAGGGUGAUCGGCCACACUGGAACUGAGACACGGUCCAGACUCCUACGGGAGGCAGCAGUAGGGAAUCUUCCGCAAUGGGCGAAAGCCUGACGGAGCAACGCCGCGUGAAUGAUGAAGGUCUUCGGAUCGUAAAACUCUGUUAUUAGGGAAGAACAAAUGUGUAAGUAACUAUGCACGUCUUGACGGUACCUAAUCAGAAAGCCACGGCUAACUACGUG